GAUGGACGCUGGCGGCGUGCCUAAUACAUGCAAGUCGAGCGAACGGACGAGAAGCUUGCUUCUCUGAUGUUAGCGGCGGACGGGUGAGUAACACGUGGAUAACCUACCUAUAAGACUGGGAUAACUUCGGGAAACCGGAGCUAAUACCGGAUGAUAUUUUGAACCGCAUGGUUCAAAAGUGAAAGACGGUCUUGCUGUCACUUAUAGAUGGAUCCGCGCUGCAUUAGCUAGUUGGUAAGGUAACGGCUUACCAAGGCAACGAUGCAUAGCCGACCUGAGAGGGUGAUCGGCCACACUGGAACUGAAACACGGUCCAGACUCCUACGGGAGGCAGCAGUAGGGAAUCUUCCGCAAUGGGCGAAAGCCUGACGGAGCAACGCCGCGUGAGUGAUGAAGGUCUUCGGAUCGUAAAACUCUGUUAUUAGGGAAGAACAUAUGUGUAAGUAACUGUGCACAUCUUGACGGUACCUAAUCAGAAAGCCACGGCUAACUACGUG
This 497-nucleotide ribosomal RNA is filed under the name uncultured bacterium. Its description in RNAcentral is "partial 16S ribosomal RNA". It matches the Rfam family "Bacterial small subunit ribosomal RNA", at positions 28 to 507 of the family's 1533-position model. The record is from RNAcentral.